Molecule: ribosomal RNA, 508 nt
Filed under: uncultured bacterium
Lineage: Bacteria
Description: bacterial SSU rRNA
Rfam family: Bacterial small subunit ribosomal RNA
Source: RNAcentral
AGAGUUUGAUCAUGGCUCAGGACAAACGCUGGCGGCGUGCCUAAAACAUGCAAGUCGUACGGUCCUUCGGGACAGUGGCGAACGGCUGAGUAACACGUGGGUAACCUACCCUCGAGUGGGGGAUAACCCUCCGAAAGGAGGGCUAAUACCGCGUACGAUCGUCCCACCCUGGUGGGACGCGGAAAGCAGUAAUGCGCUCGAGGAUGGGCCUGCGUCCGAUUAGCUAGUUGGUGAGGUAAUGGCCCACCAAGGCUUCGACGGGUAGCUGGUCUGAGAGGACGAUCAGCCACACUGGAACUGAGACACGGUCCAGACUCCUACGGGAGGCAGCAGUGGGGAAUUUUGCACAAUGGGCGAAAGCCUGAUGCAGCAACGCCGCGUGUGUGAUGAAGGUCUUCGGAUCGUAAAGCACUUUCGACCGGGACGAACAAGCCUGGCCACACCAGGCCCUGACGGUACCGGGAGAAGAAGCACCGGCUAACUCUGUGCCAGCAGCCGCGGUAAUACA